AGAGAGAGAGAGAGAGAGGGGGGGGGGGGGGGGGGGGGGAGAAGAAACUCAAAGAAUGAAUAACAAAUUUUCUCAAUGUUGGCUCAAAGUAAGUUGGUAAUAACAAUUUGCUAUUAACUGAAUUGAGACACUAUUCCAACUCAUCAUGAAAUUUUGUACAGUGAACUAAUCCGGUUGGUUGUGCAAUUCCAUUAUUUUAUUUUCAAAACUUAACAAAUUAUCAAAAUUUUUUUGUAAAUCAAUUUUUAACCUUAUUACACAGUGCAAACAUCAUUAGAGCUAAUUCAAACAUGGAAAUCUAUUUUUGUGUCUAGCAGGCAGAAAAUAUAUUCAAAAUUCAGUGUUAAAAUGAAACUGCUCCAUCUCAACAUGCAUGUGUAUGGUAUUGAAAAGAAACUAUUUUUAAACUUACGAGUUAAGACUACCAUUGCCUUGGUCCUUGGCUCAACAGGUUUCGAGAACCAUAUUUUUUAACUCAUGCUUCUAAUUUUUUUAUCCAUAGAACUAGAGCAACAAUUCUUGGGUAGGAACAGCAAUUAAUUAACCAGAUGCAGGUAGCUUCAACUCAUUCCCAAAUCCAGCCCAUUUAUUACAUUAGCAACUCUUGUUUACUAACAGAACAAAAUAAGCAUUAAACAAAUCAUUGUCAUCAGAUAAUAAAUUGUUUGAGACACAAGAUAAGUAUAGAAAAAGAAAAACUUGCAAGAAAAAAAUGUGGUUCCUGUCAAGGAGAAGAAUUGCACAAUAAGCUUCAAGGAAAGACUGCAAUAGGACAAUCAAGCCAGUAACCUCCACAAGAAAAGUUCCCUCACGGUGCUGCAUAUAAGCCCAGUAGCCAUCCAACGUGGCCACUUGAAAUUAAAACAUCACACCAUGCAGGACCAGGCUAUGAUAUGUGGACCUCAAAAUCCAAACUAUAUACAUCCAUUGUUUCCAGAAUCAUG
Molecule: unclassified non-coding RNA, 944 nt
Filed under: Hevea brasiliensis (rubber tree)
Lineage: Eukaryota; Viridiplantae; Streptophyta; Magnoliopsida; Malpighiales; Euphorbiaceae
Source: RNAcentral